Molecule: ribosomal RNA, 380 nt
Filed under: uncultured bacterium
Lineage: Bacteria
Description: bacterial SSU rRNA
Rfam family: Bacterial small subunit ribosomal RNA
Source: RNAcentral
AUUGAACGCUGGCGGCAUGCCUUACACAUGCAAGUCGAACGGCAGCAUGGAGGAGCUUGCUCCUCUGAUGGCGAGUGGCGAACGGGUGAGUAAAGCAUCGGAACGUACCGUGUAGUGGGGGAUAACGUAGCGAAAGUUACGCUAAUACCGCAUACGCACUGAGGUGGAAAGCAGGGGAUCGCAAGACCUUGCGCUAUACGAGCGGCCGCUGUCAGAUUAGCUAGUUGGUAGGGUAAAGGCCUACCAAGGCGACGAUCUGUAGCGGGUCUGAGAGGAUGAUCCGCCACACUGGGACUGAGACACGGCCCAGACUCCUACGGGAGGCAGCAGUGGGGAAUUUUGGACAAUGGGGGGAAACCUCGUAGUACCACGACCGACCU